AUGGCCGCCGGCUGGUCCUCCCUCCCCGCCGAUCUUCUCAGUGAGAUCUCGGGCCGCCUGAUCACCGACGCAGACCAGCUCCACGCCCACCAGGUAUGCGCCCACUGGCGAGCCUCAAUUUCUCCUCCGGCCGCCUACCGCCCGUGGGUCGUCGCCGCCCGACAGGCCCCGGACGGACUGAGCCCAGUCGGCGAGUACUCCCUCCAGCUCCCUCGCGGCGUCCCGGGCGUCGACUUCAAGGCGGCCCCACCCGGUCUCCCGUACUGCUGCGGCACGCCCCGCGGCUGGCUCGCCCUUGCGGACGACGUCCGGUCCCCCACGCGGCUCGUGCUGUGGGAGCCCCACUCCGGCACCGAGAUCCCGCUUCCAUGCCUGUGCCCGGUCGUCCAGGUCUUCCUCUCCGGCGACCCGCUCGAGUCGUCGCACUGGAUGGCCGUCGCGACCCAGCUCAGACGGCCCCGGGCGCAUAUCCUCUUCUUCUGGCGGCCCGGGGACGCCGCCUGGAGCGGCCCGGCCGCGGUUCCUUGCGCGAAACUCCACAGCGUCGAAUUCCAUGAGGGGAACAUAUACUGCAUAGACCGCAUGUUUAACGUGUCCAUCUACGAUCUCAAGCUCGGCACGGCGUCCCCUCCCGUGCUCCUCCGGUGCUUCGGCAUGUGCCCUAGUCAGGCGUCGGAGUCGUUGGAGACCCACAAGUAUUGGAAGGACUGCGUGCGUGCGGUGCACGUCGUGGCCUGCCGCGGCGAGCUCCUGCUCGUGCUGCUGUUCCACGGCCGCCGCCCGUCGCUCAUGGAAGUCUACAGGCCGGCGUGGACGCCCGCUGAAUGGCCCUUCCAGGUCGGUGAGAGGGUGACUGACCUCGGGGGCUACGCGCUCUUCCUCGGCUGCGGCGACGCCGUUGCGCUGUCUGCCAAGGAGUACCCAGCGAUCAGGGGGAACUGCGUUUACUACCUGGUGCACAACCUCCCCAAGAAGCAUUGGGCAAUGGUUUAUGAUCUGGGGACGGGUGAUGUGGACGAUAUACCUUACCCCGAGGUGCACAAGCAGGAGAAUGGCUGCUGGCCAUAUUCUUGGUUUUGUCCUCGAAGGCCCUUCCUGAAGAAGCAGGUAGUUUAA
This 1116-nucleotide ribosomal RNA is filed under the name Triticum aestivum (bread wheat). RNAcentral's name for it is "partial small subunit ribosomal RNA". The record is from RNAcentral. Lineage: Eukaryota; Viridiplantae; Streptophyta; Magnoliopsida; Poales; Poaceae.